GGUGCUGACAUUGUUUCUGCUGGAUUCAGCCGGUCCGACGACUGACCGUCUGCAUGCCGAUCGCAAGACGGCGUGUAGAGUGUGCUCGGUCUAGGGCUGGUGCAUUUUCAGUAGAAUGCAUCAUGACCGCUAGCGCUGCUGGCAUAAGGCCCGUUGGUUGCCGUCUGCAGGUUUUCGGAUUUGCAGUGCCCCACCUUCGGUGUCCUGUCCGAGUUGGCGUUAGCGGAUAACUGGACGUGCCCGACUACGUCUCAUCUUGUGCUUUACGUUGGCUGAUCGAUCCGUGGGACCGUGCUUGCACGGUYCUGCAACCCCCAGUCUUCGUACUGUAUUCGAAUGAGGCGGCACUGAAGGUCUAUGGUGUCCGCGUCAGUCUCCCAACCGACCCGUCUUGAAACACGGACCAAGGAGUCUAACAUGUGCGCAAGUCAUGGGGUUGAAAACCCAAAGGCGUAAUGAAAGUAAAGGCCGCAAGGCUGAGGUGUGAUGGUCGGUUAUACCGACUCGCAACACCGCCCCAUCGCAUCGGCUUGUCCGGGCGGUGGAGGAAGAGCGUACACGUUGGGACCCGAAAGAUGGUGAACUAUGCCUGAGCAGGAUGAAGCCAGAGGAAACUCUGGUGGAGGUCCGUAGCGGUUCUGACGUGCAAAUCGAUCGUCAGACUUGGGUAUAGGGGCGAAAGACUAAUCGAACCAUCUAGUA
This 702-nucleotide ribosomal RNA is filed under the name Trichodorus persicus. Its description in RNAcentral is "eukaryotic LSU rRNA". It matches the Rfam family "Eukaryotic large subunit ribosomal RNA", at positions 592 to 949 of the family's 3401-position model. The record is from RNAcentral. Lineage: Eukaryota; Metazoa; Nematoda; Enoplea; Triplonchida; Trichodoridae.